This 434-nucleotide ribosomal RNA is filed under the name Bactrocera arecae. Its description in RNAcentral is "partial 12S ribosomal RNA". Lineage: Eukaryota; Metazoa; Arthropoda; Insecta; Diptera; Tephritidae. The record is from RNAcentral.
UAAACUAGGAUUAGAUACCCUAUUAUUUAAAAUGUAAUUUUAGUCACUAAGGUAGUAGUAGUUAUGUUCUUGAAACUUAAAAAAUUUGGCGGUAUUUUAGUCUAUUCAGAGGAACCUGUCCUGUAAUUGAUAAUCCACGAUGUACCUUACUUGAAUUUGUUUUUCAGUUUAUAUACCGUCGUUAUCAGAAUAUUUUAUUAGAAUAAUAAUUUUCUAUAAUUUUUAUAAGAAUUUAUAUCAGAUCAAGGUGUAGCUUAUAUUUAAGUAGAGAUGGGUUACAAUAAAUUUAUUUAAACGGAUCUAAUUUUGAAAUGUUUAGUGAAGGUGGAUUUGAUAGUAAAAUUUUAAAGAUAGUUAAUUUGAUUUUAGCUCUAGAAUAUGCACACAUCGCCCGUCGCUCUUGCUAUUAAGGUAAGAUAAGUCGUAACAUAGUA